Molecule: ribosomal RNA, 468 nt
Filed under: uncultured bacterium
Lineage: Bacteria
Description: partial 16S ribosomal RNA
Rfam family: Bacterial small subunit ribosomal RNA
Source: RNAcentral
GACGAACGCUGGCGGUGUGCUUAACACAUGCAAGUCGAACGGUAAGGCCCUUUCGGGGGUACACGAGUGGCGAACGGGUGAGUAACACGUGAGUAACCUGCCCUCAUCUCUGGGAUAACAGUCGGAAACGGUUGCUAAUACUGGAUAUGAGCUUGCAAGGCAUCUUGUGGGUUGGAAAGAUUUUUUUUGGUUGGGGGUGGACUCGCGGCCUAUCAGCUUGUUGGUGAGGUAGUGGCUCACCAAGGCUUCGACGGGUAGCCGGCCUGAGAGGGCGACCGGCCACAUUGGGACUGAGAUACGGCCCAAACUCCUACGGGAGGCAGCAGUGGGGAAUAUUGCACAAUGGACGGAAGUCUGAUGCAGCAACGCCGCGUGCGGGAUGACGGCCUUCGGGUUGUAAACCGCUGUCAAUUGUGACGAAGCUUUUUUGUGACGGUAGCAGUAGAAGAAGCACCGGCUAACUACGUG